GAUGAACGCUGGCGGCGUGCCUAAUACAUGCAAGUCGAGCGAACGGACGAGAAGCUUGUUUCUCUGAUGUUAGCGGCGGACGGGUGAGUAACACGUGGAUAACCUACCUAUAAGACUGGGAUAACUUCGGGAAACCGUAUCUAAUACCGGAUAAUAUUUUCAACCGCUUGGUUCAAAAGUGAAAGACGGUCUUGCUGUCACUUAUAGAUGGAUCCGCGCUGCAUUAGCUAGUUGGUAAGGUAACGGCUUACCAAGGCAACGAUGCAUAGCCGACCUGAGAGGGAGAUCGGCCACACUGGAACUGAGACACGGUCCAGACUCCUACGGGAGGCAGCAGUAGGGAAUCUUCCGCAAUGGGCGAAAGCCUGACGGAGCAACGCCGCGUGAGUGAUGAAGGUCUUCGGAUCGUAAAACUCUGUUAUUAGGGAAGAACAUAUGUGUAAGUAACUGUGCACAUCUUGACGGUACCUAAUCAGAAAGCCACGGCUAACUACGUG
This 497-nucleotide ribosomal RNA is filed under the name uncultured bacterium. RNAcentral describes it as "partial 16S ribosomal RNA". It matches the Rfam family "Bacterial small subunit ribosomal RNA", at positions 28 to 507 of the family's 1533-position model. The record is from RNAcentral.